CGAAAAGUUAUGUAAGGGCGUAUGGGGGAUGCCUAGGCUCUCAGAGGCGAAGAAGGACGUGAUAAGCUGCGAAAAGUUGCGGGGAUUGGCACAUACGAGUUGAUCCGCAAAUAUCCGAAUGGGGCAACCCAGUACAUUGAAGAUGUACUACACCUUAUAGG
Molecule: ribosomal RNA, 161 nt
Filed under: Porphyromonas sp.
Lineage: Bacteria; Pseudomonadati; Bacteroidota; Bacteroidia; Bacteroidales; Porphyromonadaceae
Description: partial 23S ribosomal RNA
Rfam family: Bacterial large subunit ribosomal RNA
Source: RNAcentral